This 438-nucleotide unclassified non-coding RNA is filed under the name Hevea brasiliensis (rubber tree). The record is from RNAcentral. Lineage: Eukaryota; Viridiplantae; Streptophyta; Magnoliopsida; Malpighiales; Euphorbiaceae.
CCUCCCAAGGUUCCUGGUGUAGAUGAUGUAAGCGGAGAGCCUUUGAUUCAACGUAAAGAUGAUACUGCAGCAGUUCUUAAGUCAAGGUUGGAAGCAUUUCACAAGCAAACUGAACCAGUAAUUGAUUAUUAUAAGAACAAGGGUGUUGUUGCAGAUCUUCAUGCAGAAAAACCUCCAAAAGAGGUCACAUCUGAGGUUCAGAAAGUGCUUUCCUCAUAAAAUGGGGCCCUUUUUGACUCACAAAAGCAUUAUUUUUCUCGUGAUAUUAAUGGAUUUUGUUCUUAUGUAUUUUAAACAUACUUUCACACAUGCUGAUCCUUUUGCUUCUGUUUUAUUUUGACUGCAAACACCGGCUAUCCGCCCUUAUUGAGGUAUUUAACUGAGUUCACGUUGAAUAAAGAUGCAGCAACUUUGGUUUUAUCAUUUAUUGCACUCGUG